This 441-nucleotide long non-coding RNA is filed under the name Gallus gallus (chicken). Lineage: Eukaryota; Metazoa; Chordata; Aves; Galliformes; Phasianidae. The record is from RNAcentral.
CUUUUAUGAAGCAUCUGGAAACAGCAAGUCCCAAAAGCCACCAGUAUUAACAGUAAUAGUGGUAUAGUGGGUAUUACGACAUAAAUUAGAUUUGGAAUUAUACCUGUUUCAGUAGCUAUAACAUGAUACUGAUCUUCUGGUUUGUUUGUGUCAUAUGGAUUUCCUGCUGGCACCGUUGGAAAAAUACCUGGGCCAUACUUGCAGAUAAAAUUGUGCUUCAUGUUGCAUCUAUCGUCAUUCCACUGAUAAAGAUACGGCCCUCCCAGACCAGGGUUUGCAGUUGGCUGAUGAUACAUAACAACACAGGCUUCACUUCCACAGGAAGGCUCAUCUGUAUACCAAUUUCUGAAGGGUGAAAUACUUCCAUCAGCCCAAUGGUAGAGGUCAGGGCAAGCACUGGAGGUGGCCAGUCCAUCACUACUUCUCCACAACCCAAUCCAG